GACGAACUGUGCGAACGUUAUUCGGAAUCACUGGGCUUACAGGGUGCGUAGGCGGCUUGUUAAGUAGGGUGUGAAAUCCCCCGGCCCAACCGGGGAAUGGCGCUCUAAACUAGCAGGCUUGAGUGAGCUAGGGGUGCACGGAACUUCCAGUGGAGCGGUGAAAUGUGUUGAUAUUGGAAGGAACACCGGAGGCGAAAGCGGUGCACUGGGGCUUAACUGACGCUGAGGCACGAAAGCCAGGGGAGCGAACGGGAUUAGAAACCCCCGUAGUCC
RNAcentral lists this ribosomal RNA (273 nucleotides) under uncultured bacterium. RNAcentral describes it as "partial 16S ribosomal RNA". It matches the Rfam family "Bacterial small subunit ribosomal RNA", at positions 524 to 796 of the family's 1533-position model. The record is from RNAcentral.